GCUCGCUUCUGGGGUGAUCCAUGGCAGGGCUCUAAGGUCGCAGUCGGAGCUAUCCGCUUCUAGUUGAACCCAUAGCUUGUCUCUUGGUGUUGUCGACCAACCGAUGAUUCGCGUGAGGUGUGUUGCUAGGUAGUACUUCCUGAAGUCUGGGAGAGCCAGUCCCCCUUUGAGUUUAGGGCGCGUCAGUUGGGAGUGGGCUAUUCGGGGGGGCUUGCCUUUCC
This is a non-coding RNA of Pelobates cultripes (western spadefoot toad), 221 nucleotides long. Lineage: Eukaryota; Metazoa; Chordata; Amphibia; Anura; Pelobatidae. The record is from the annotation of a GenBank genome assembly.